GCGAAUAUAGUUUCAACCCAAACAUUAGACUGUGAUUCUAAAAAUAGAAGUUCAAACCUCCUUAUUCGCG
Non-coding RNA from Tinamus guttatus (white-throated tinamou), 70 nucleotides. NCBI's taxonomy places the organism in Eukaryota, Metazoa, Chordata, Aves, Tinamiformes, Tinamidae. The record is from Rfam.